UAACAAGGUUUCCGUAGGUGAACCUGCGGAAGGAUCAUUAGUGAUUUGCCUUCGGGCUAAACUAUAUCCAUAACACCUGUGAACUGUUGAUUGACUUCGGUCAAUACUUUUACAAACAUUGUGUAAUGAACGUCAUGUUAUUAUAACAAAUAUAACUUUCAACAACGGAUCUCUUGGCUCUCGCAUCGAUGAAGAACGCAGCGA
Molecule: unclassified non-coding RNA, 204 nt
Filed under: uncultured fungus
Lineage: Eukaryota; Fungi
Description: partial contains 18S rRNA, ITS1, 5.8S rRNA
Rfam family: 5.8S ribosomal RNA (bases 154-204)
Source: RNAcentral